RNAcentral lists this long non-coding RNA (383 nucleotides) under Hordeum vulgare. RNAcentral's name for it is "long non-coding RNA (HVUL_LNC018674)". The record is from RNAcentral. Lineage: Eukaryota; Viridiplantae; Streptophyta; Magnoliopsida; Poales; Poaceae.
CCUUUCUCGUGAAUGAUAGUGAAUAAACACAUAUCGAGGAUAACACGCCUAGCAUGGAAGAUACCAAUAGCCCCCUGUCACCACACGCCUAGCAUGGAAGAUAUAUCGUCAUUAUUGCCUUUCACUUGCACGACCGAACGAUGUGAACAAUAAUAAGUGUGCUCGUGCAUUGGACUAAAGCUGGAAUCUGCAGGUAGACACAAAGGAGAAGACAAAGUAAUAUGGCUCUUUGAAAGCUAAACAGGUAUGCAUGCAAGAGCCACUAAACAUUGUAACCAAUAUCUUCUACCUUGACCCAAAGAAAAAGAAGAAAAAGAAAAUCUUUUUGGGUUUUCUCAAACUAGACAGACACACUAAACGAAAACGAUAAAAAUAAAAUAAAC